UACGUAGGCAGCAAGCGUUGUUCGGAAUUACUGGGCGUAAAGAGUGUGUAGGUGGUGCUCCAAGUCUGUUGUGAAAUCUCCCGGCUCAACUGGGAGGGUGCAGCGGAAACUGGAAUGCUUGAGGGUGGGAGAGGAAAGCGGAAUUCCUGGUGUAGCGGUGAAAUGCGUAGAUAUCAGGAGGAACACCCGUGGUGUAGACAGCUUUCUGGACCAUUUCUGACACUGAGACACGAAAGCGUGGGUAG
Molecule: ribosomal RNA, 245 nt
Filed under: uncultured bacterium
Lineage: Bacteria
Description: partial 16S ribosomal RNA
Rfam family: Bacterial small subunit ribosomal RNA
Source: RNAcentral